Molecule: long non-coding RNA, 1783 nt
Organism: Parus major (Great Tit)
Lineage: Eukaryota; Metazoa; Chordata; Aves; Passeriformes; Paridae
Source: Ensembl
AUGCUGUGGAAGUACAAAACAAGUUGCUCUGCUAUGCAAACUGUCUCUUUUGAGGCUCAGCAACUGCUCCAGAGAAGUCUCCUGUGUAAAACCCCAGGCUCCUGUGCAAUGUACCAGUCCAGCUUUGUGCCGCGGGAAUAUUACCCAGCCAUGAUCCUACCUUCUGCCUACACCUACCCACCGCUGCGGCGUGGGAGAGCAGAAGACAUGUCCAACUCUGUGAUGUUCCCUCCCAUCCACAUGCACAACUUCUACAGUCGCCCCCUCACCUUUGUGGUGGACCGGAACAGCUACCCCAACUAUGUGGGAGGUCAUGUGGAGUAUCACCAUCUCUAUAGUGCCUCCAAUCCCUAUAUCCAUCCAUACCACACCUGGCAGUUCCCUCCCAUGGUCCCUAUCCCUCUCUACAAUCCCUAUGCAAACUACCAUCCCUAUGCUGCCUGCCAGAGGUCAGAUCAGUAUCGAGACACGUGGCCAGAAGGCUUCACAAUGAGAGGGGAGCUUCAGUGGGGGAAGCUUGGAAAGGUGUUUGGGCCAAGGAAAGACCUCCCAGAGUUUGUGAAGGAUGAUCUCCGGAGGGUUUAUGGCACCUACCCCCGGACUAAUGUUUCCAUAUCCUAUCGGAAAGGAGAGUUCUUGGUCAAGGGAGACCCCAAGACAGAAGACCAGGAAUAUGCAGUAGAGAAAAAGGUCAUCCAGCGGGGUGUGACCCCCAGUGCCAGUGAGGCAGACGACAGCAGUGAGGACCGGAACCGUAAGAAGAAAAAGAAACUGAGACGUUGAGGUAGUUAGAUACCCAAUGGACUGAUCUCCAGUACCCUCUUGGGAGCCAGCUGGCAGCUGUUUUUGGUGUGGCUGGCAAGUAACACAAGCAAUGGAUGCCACCAUUCCUGUUGAUUUCUAAUUGCUCCCUAUUCUCCACAAUGGGUGGAUUUCCCCUUUUUGAUGCACAAUGAUCAUCCUGUGAAGAAACCACAUGAUACUUGACUGUUGGAUCAGCUCAUUGGUCCCAGUUUUGAAAUGAACAUUUGAUUUCCACUGGUUUGGUUGACUGGUCACAGCCUGGUGGGGGAUCUCCAAACUGCAGCCCUUGAUCAGAGAAGAUGUCUCUUCCUACUGUGUCCAGGGGAAGGGCCUGUAAGCUGGUUCUCUUCCUGGAGAGAUAAAAGCUGAAUUUCCUUCAGGAUGAGGGUUGUGCAGGUCCCAGUGGACAUGGGGGUUCUCAAACACUCUAAAGAGCAAUUGUCUGCAUGUCUUGUCACUGCUGUUUAUGACCAUAUCAUUGUGCUUUAUCACCACAGGAGGCCUGUAUGCCUCACUUCUCUACACUCUGGUGUCCCCACCCUCUUACACUUGAUAAUGUGGUGCUCAGUACCCCUGGCCACAUGUUCUUAUUGAAACUGCUGUUGAGGCCCUGCUCUGGGUCUGACUUGGCUCUGGUUGGAGGUUCUGGCUCUCCAAUGAGGUUACAGGAGUUGUUGAACCACAGCACUUCCAUAGCUUGGUGGUUGUACUGGAAGAGCUGUCCUGGAAGCCUGGAGGGACUGGGUCUGACUUACUUGCAAAUUUCUGUACCUUUUAAAUGACUAUAAACAAUUAAAAAAAAACCCAAAUGCAAAUGCUUGUAUUUCUGAUUCUUAACUACCUAAUAUCAGCCUCUUUUGUGAACAACUUGCAAUCAGAUCUGUCACCUGCUUGUGAAGUUAGGGAUGGCUGUGGUUCAUGCCCAGCCACAGUGGCUUGCUGCACUUGGCAGUACCCUGCCUUGUCCUAGUUUGUUUUC